Molecule: long non-coding RNA, 421 nt
Filed under: Gossypium barbadense (sea-island cotton)
Lineage: Eukaryota; Viridiplantae; Streptophyta; Magnoliopsida; Malvales; Malvaceae
Description: long non-coding RNA (GBAR_LNC023614)
Source: RNAcentral
GCCUAUCAAACGAAUUUAUUAUAAUAAUAUUGAAAAUUUGAAGGAUAAAAAAACAAAAAAUAGGAAUAGAUGAUAGUAAUGUAGCCACCGACGGACCAAUUAGCGCAAGGGGAGCCCCCUAAACUUACCCACAAAAAAUGAGCCCUCUAAUUAUCUAAAUUCAAAUUAUCUUCUUAUAACAAGUGAACAAAAACAGAAAUAGUACCAUGUGCAGGCAGGCUCAUCCAUUUGGGAUCAUCACAGAUUUUCGUCUGCACUUGUUUAUUGUUUGAACUGCAGGCCGUAGUUUUUAGCUGAUCUGACGACGAUAGCUUCCCGGAGACCAACGGUUAAGCUAGGAGUUGGUAAGAGAGAGAAAUAAAAUAAGAGAAGAGGUGUAAAGUAAGUGCACAGAAGGAGCAUCUUUUAAUAAUUAUUAAAA